AACCUCAAGUCAGACGGGGUUACCCGCUGAACUUAAGCAUAUCAAUAAGCGGAGGAAAAGAAACCAACCGGGAUUGCCUCAGUAGCGGCGAGUGAAGCGGCAAGAGCUCAAAUUUGAAAUCGGGAAACCGAGUUGUAACCUAUAGAGGAUGCUUCUGGCGCGGCUUGGCCAAGUCGAUUGAAUGCGACGCCUUUGAGGGUGACAGCCCCGCCAGGUCAGCUGUCGUUGCCAGUGUGAAGCUCCUUCAACGAGUCGAGUAGUUUGGGAAUGCUGCUCUAAAUUGGAGGUAAAUUUCUCCUAAAGCUAAAUAUUGGCCAGAGACCGAUAGUGAACAAGUAGCGUGAGCGAAAGAUGAAAAGUACCCUGGAAAGAGGUUUAAAAGGACGUGAAAUUGCUGAAAGGGAAGCAUUUGUGGCUAG
This 419-nucleotide ribosomal RNA is filed under the name uncultured fungus. Its description in RNAcentral is "eukaryotic LSU rRNA". It matches the Rfam family "Eukaryotic large subunit ribosomal RNA", at positions 1 to 432 of the family's 3401-position model. The record is from RNAcentral. Lineage: Eukaryota; Fungi.